This 253-nucleotide ribosomal RNA is filed under the name uncultured bacterium. RNAcentral describes it as "partial 16S ribosomal RNA". It matches the Rfam family "Bacterial small subunit ribosomal RNA", at positions 524 to 776 of the family's 1533-position model. The record is from RNAcentral.
UACGGAGGUGGCAAGCGUUGCUCGGAUUUACUGGGCGUAAAGGGCGCGUAGGCGGCAUGACAAGUCACUUGUGAAAUCUCCGGGCUUAACUCGGAACGGCCAAGUGAUACUGUCACGCUAGAGUGCAGAAGGGGCAAUCGGAAUUCUUGGUGUAGCGGUGAAAUGCGUAGAUAUCAAGAGGAACACCUGAGGUGAAGACGGGUUGCUGGGCUGACACUGACGCUGAGGCGCGAAAGCCAGGGGAGCAAACGGG